Brassica oleracea var. oleracea is the source of this 107-nucleotide ribosomal RNA. The record is from Rfam. NCBI's taxonomy places the organism in Eukaryota, Viridiplantae, Streptophyta, Magnoliopsida, Brassicales, Brassicaceae.
GGGUGCGAUCGUACCGGCACUAAUGCACUGAAUCCCAUCAGAACUUUGUAGUUAAGUGUGGUUGGGCUAGAGUGUUACUAGGAAGGGGUUAUUGGUUGUUGUAUUUU